AUCUGCCCUUGACUCUGGGAUAAGCGUUGGAAACGACGUCUAAUACCGGAUACGACCCUCGGAGGCAUCUCCUGGGGGUGGAAAGAAUUUUGGUCAAGGAUGAGCUCGCGGCCUAUCAGCUUGUUGGUGAGGUAAUGGCUCACCAAGGCGACGACGGGUAGCCGGCCUGAGAGGGUGACCGGCCACACUGGGACUGAGACACGGCCCAGACUCCUACGGGAGGCAGCAGUGGGGAAUAUUGCACAAUGGGCGAAAGCCUGAUGCAGCAACGCCGCGUGAGGGACGACGGCCUUCGGGUUGUAAACCUCUUUUAGUAGGGAAGAAGCGAAAGUGACGGUACCUGCAGAAAAAGCACCGGCUAACUACGUGCCAGCAGCCGCGGUAAUACGUAGGGUGCAAGCGUUGUCCGGAAUUAUUGGGCGUAAAGAGCUCGUAGGCGGUUUGUCGCGUCUGCUGUGAAAACCCGAGGCUCAACCUCGGGCCUGCAGUGGGUACGGGCAGACUAGAGUGCGGUAGGGGAGAUUGGAAUUCCUGGUGUAGCGGUGGAAUGCGCAGAUAUCAGGAGGAACACCGAUGGCGAAGGCAGAUCUCUGGGCCGUAACUGACGCUGAGGAGCGAAAGCAUGGGGAGCGAACAGGAUUAGAUACCCUGGUAGUCCAUGCCGUAAACGUUGGGAACUAGAUGUGGGGACCAUUCCACGGUCUCCGUGUCGCAGCUAACGCAUUAAGUUCCCCGCCUGGGGAGUACGGCCGCAAGGCUAAAACUCAAAGGAAUUGACGGGGGCCCGCACAAGCGGCGGAGCAUGCGGAUUAAUUCGAUGCAACGCGAAGAACCUUACCAAGACUUGACAUAUACGAGAACGGGCCAGAAAUGGUCAACUCUUUGGACACUCGUAAACAGGUGGUGCAUGGUUGUCGUCAGCUCGUGUCGUGAGAUGUUGGGUUAAGUCCCGCAACGAGCGCAACCCUCGUCCUAUGUUGCCAGCACGUAAUGGUGGGAACUCAUGGGAUACUGCCGGGGUCAACUCGGAGGAAGGUGGGGAUGACGUCAAAUCAUCAUGCCCCUUAUGUCUUGGGCUUCACGCAUGCUACAAUGGCCGGUACAAAGGGCUGCAAUACCGCAAGGUGGAGCGAAUCCCAAAAAGCCGGUCUCAGUUCGGAUUGAGGUCUGCAACUCGACCUCAUGAAGUCGGAGUCGCUAGUAAUCGCAGAUCAGCAACGCUGCGGUGAAUACGUUCCCGGGCCUUGUACACAC
Molecule: ribosomal RNA, 1254 nt
Filed under: Leifsonia sp. 215
Lineage: Bacteria; Bacillati; Actinomycetota; Actinomycetes; Micrococcales; Microbacteriaceae
Description: bacterial SSU rRNA
Rfam family: Bacterial small subunit ribosomal RNA
Source: RNAcentral